RNAcentral lists this ribosomal RNA (912 nucleotides) under uncultured bacterium. RNAcentral describes it as "bacterial SSU rRNA". It matches the Rfam family "Bacterial small subunit ribosomal RNA", at positions 581 to 1499 of the family's 1533-position model. The record is from RNAcentral.
UAAUAAGUCUGUUGUUAAAGANUAGGGGCUCAACCCUAGAAAAGCAAUGGAAACUACUAGACUAGAGUAUGGCAGGGGUAGAGGGAAUUUCUAGUGUAGCGGUGAAAUGCGUAGAUAUUAGAAAGAACACCGGUGGCGAAAGCGCUCUACUGGACCAUUACUGACACUCAGAGGCGAAAGCUAGGGUAGCAAAAGGGAUUAGAUACCCCUGUAGUCCUAGCCGUAAACGAUGGAUACUACAUGUUGUGCAUUAUGUACAGUAUGGUAGCUAACGCGUUAAGUAUCCCGCCUGGGGAGUACGCUCGCAAGGGUGAAACUCAAAGGAAUUGACGGGGGCCCGCACAAGCGGUGGAGCAUGUGGUUUAAUUCGAUGCAACGCGAAGAACCUUACCAGGACUUGACAUACUACAAAUUCUUUUGAGAAAAAGAAGUGCCUUCGGGAAUGUAGAUACAGGUGGUGCAUGGCUGUCGUCAGCUCGUGUCGUGAGAUGUUGGGUUAAGUCCCGCAACGAGCGCAACCCUUAUUUUUAGUUACCAAUUCGUUGGGUUCUCUAGAAAGACUGCCGGUGACAAACCGGAGGAAGGUGAGGAUGACGUCAAGUCAGCAUGCCCCUUAUGUCCUGGGCUACACACGUGCUACAAUGGUUAAGACAAAGAGUCGCGAGCUCGUAAGAGUCAGCUAAUCUCAUAAACUUAGCCCAAGUUCAGAUUGUAGGCUGCAACUCGCCUGCAUGAAGUUGGAAUCGCUAGUAAUCGCUGGUCAGCCAUACAGCGGUGAAUCCGUUCCCGGGCCUUGUACACACCGCCCGUCACACCAUGGGAGCUGGUCAUACCCGAUACCGUUUGCUUAACCGUUUGGAGAGCGACGUCUAAGGUAGGGCUAGUGACUGGGGUGAAGUCGUAACAAGGUAA